GCCCCUAUGGUGAAAUGGAUAUCACGCCGGUCUUCGGAACCGUCGUUCUGGGUUCGAAUCCUGGUAGGGGCA
This 72-nucleotide transfer RNA is filed under the name Candidatus Yonathbacteria bacterium. RNAcentral describes it as "tRNA-Arg". It matches the Rfam family "tRNA". Rfam says of the family: Transfer RNA (tRNA) molecules are approximately 80 nucleotides in length. Their secondary structure includes four short double-helical elements and three loops (D, anti-codon, and T loops). The record is from RNAcentral. Lineage: Bacteria; Candidatus Yonathiibacteriota.